This 253-nucleotide ribosomal RNA is filed under the name uncultured bacterium. Its description in RNAcentral is "partial 16S ribosomal RNA". It matches the Rfam family "Bacterial small subunit ribosomal RNA", at positions 524 to 776 of the family's 1533-position model. The record is from RNAcentral.
UACAGAGGGGGCAAGCGUUAUUCGGAAUUAUUGGGCGUAAAGGGCGCGUAGGCGGCUUGGCAAGUGGAAGGUGAAAUCCCUCGGCUUAACCGAGGAACUGCCCUCCAAACUGCUUCGCUUGAGACCGGGAGAGGUGAGUGGAAUUCCCAGUGUAGCGGUGAAAUGCGUAGAUAUUGGGAGGAACACCAGUGGCGAAGGCGGCUCACUGGACCGGUACUGACGCUGAUGCGCGAAAGCCAGGGGAGCAAACGGG